This 30-nucleotide non-coding RNA is filed under the name Rattus norvegicus (Norway rat). The record is from RNAcentral. Lineage: Eukaryota; Metazoa; Chordata; Mammalia; Rodentia; Muridae.
UGGACAUGACAAUAAUUGUGGCUUCUGUUU